ACCUGCAGUCCCUGCAACGAAUUGUAUAUAUUAAUAAAACUUUUGGUAUCCAAUACACAGAUAGUAAUAUCACAAAUAGAGAAAUUAUAAAGAGUUAUCAUAUAAGUACCUUGUGAAGCAACCGCUUGCUUCUUUCUCUUAUUUUUAGGCCUGUUUGGGUCAAGGGUGGCUAUAUAAGUAGGACAAUUCUUUUUUCAAUGAUCCAGCUUCUUACAGAGGAAGCACUCUACCUGACUUUUAUCAACUUUUGAUGGUUUGCUCUGCUU
This 266-nucleotide long non-coding RNA is filed under the name Elaeis guineensis (African oil palm). RNAcentral's name for it is "long non-coding RNA (EGUI_LNC070842)". The record is from RNAcentral. Lineage: Eukaryota; Viridiplantae; Streptophyta; Magnoliopsida; Arecales; Arecaceae.